This 404-nucleotide ribosomal RNA is filed under the name uncultured bacterium. Its description in RNAcentral is "bacterial SSU rRNA". It matches the Rfam family "Bacterial small subunit ribosomal RNA", at positions 355 to 776 of the family's 1533-position model. The record is from RNAcentral.
UGGGGAAUAUUGGACAAUGGGGGAAACCCUGAUCCAGCAAUGCCGCGUGAGUGAAGAAGGCCUUAGGGUUGUAAAACUCUUUCAUCAAUGAAGAUAAUGACAUUAAUUGAAGAAGAAGCUCCGGCUAACUCCGUGCCAGCAGCCGCGGUAAUACGGAGGGGGCUAGCGUUGUUCGGAAUUACUGGGCGUAAAGCGUAUGUAGGCGGAUCAAAAAGUUAGAUGUGAAAUCCCUGGGCUUAACCCAGGAACUGCAUUUAAAACUAGAGAUCUAGAAUUUGGUAGAGGAUAGUAGAAUUUCCAGUGUAGAGGUGAAAUUCGUAGAUAUUGGAAAGAAUACCAGUGGCGAAGGCGACUAUCUGGGCCAUUUUUGACGCUGAGAUACGAAAGCGUGGGUAGCAAACAGG